Molecule: non-coding RNA, 963 nt
Filed under: Pontibacillus litoralis JSM 072002
Lineage: Bacteria; Bacillati; Bacillota; Bacilli; Caryophanales; Bacillaceae
Description: Bacterial small subunit ribosomal RNA
Rfam family: Bacterial small subunit ribosomal RNA
Source: Rfam by way of RNAcentral
CAUUUGGAGAGUUUGAUCCUGGCUCAGGACGAACGCUGGCGGCGUGCCUAAUACAUGCAAGUCGAGCGCAUGAAUCUACAAGAUUCCUUCGGGAUGAUUGUAGUGGAUUGAGCGGCGGACGGGUGAGUAACACGUGGGUAACCUGCCUUCGAGAUUGGGAUAACUCCGGGAAACCGGGGCUAAUACCGAAUAACACAUGAAACCGCAUGGUUUCGUGAUAAAAGGCGGCUUCGGCCGUCACUCGAAGAUGGACCCGCGGCGCAUUAGCUAGUUGGUAAGGUAACGGCUUACCAAGGCGACGAUGCGUAGCCGACCUGAGAGGGUGAUCGGCCACACUGGGACUGAGACACGGCCCAGACUCCUACGGGAGGCAGCAGUAGGGAAUCUUCCGCAAUGGACGAAAGUCUGACGGAGCAACGCCGCGUGAACGAUGAAGGUCUUCGGAUCGUAAAGUUCUGUUGUUAGGGAAGAACAAGUGCCAUAGGAAAUGAUGGCACCUUGACGGUACCUAACCAGAAAGCCCCGGCUAACUACGUGCCAGCAGCCGCGGUAAUACGUAGGGGGCAAGCGUUGUCCGGAAUUAUUGGGCGUAAAGCGCGCGCAGGCGGUUCCUUAAGUCUGAUGUGAAAGCCCACGGCUCAACCGUGGAUGGCCAUUGGAAACUGGGGAACUUGAGUACAGAAGAGGAGAGUGGAAUUCCACGUGUAGCGGUGAAAUGCGUAGAGAUGUGGAGGAACACCAGUGGCGAAGGCGACUCUCUGGUCUGUAACUGACGCUGAGGCGCGAAAGCGUGGGUAGCAAACAGGAUUAGAUACCCUGGUAGUCCACGCCGUAAACGAUGAGUGCUAGGUGUUAGGGGGUUUCCGCCCCUUAGUGCUGCAGUUAACGCAUUAAGCACUCCGCCUGGGGAGUACGGCCGCAAGGCUGAAACUCAAAGGAAUUGACGGGGGCCCGCACAAGCGG